Camelus dromedarius (Arabian camel) is the source of this 948-nucleotide long non-coding RNA. RefSeq lists it as uncharacterized. The transcript is spliced from 8 exons. NCBI's taxonomy places the organism in Eukaryota, Metazoa, Chordata, Mammalia, Artiodactyla, Camelidae. The record is from RefSeq and is a predicted model, not a curated record.
CGGAGCCAGGAGUGGGGCGUUCUGGUCUAGGGCGCCGCAGUGUCUGGGAUGCGGAGAUUCUCCCCCAGAGGGGAGACCCAGCUCCUGCGCAUGCCUCUACUUUCCCGCACGUGGUCCAUCACCGCAGCCCUUCCAGAACCCACAUUCACACCACCCCCUUCCUCCCCGCCACCGCAGUCCUGAGCGCAUUUAACCAGAGUCAAACCAAAACAGCUUAGACGAGGGAGACCCCAAAGGGGAGAUGCUACUAUAAAUUGGAACAGACUGUUGGAGGGCCGGUGCAUGAGGCACGUGGAAGAUAUGUGACGCUCCUAUGCGGCCCCGGGCGAACCAAGUGGAGGAAGGCCAACGGGGAAAGUGCCAUGAUAAAGGCCUGGAUGCCCUGGAGUUCAAGGGAGCACUGGCUGACGCUUGAACUUCCAGCCCUCCUGGGGGCCCAUCUGGACGCUUUACCUGGACCCGGACCUCGGGAUAGGAACAGAAUCAGUUUACAUUUUGGAAACCUCACCCUGCAAUUUGGAGAGGAGCAAGACGCAGCGUCAAAAAGCUACUUAGGAGGUCAGGGGAGGAACUGAGCACGGCUAAGACUUUAAUCUAGUCAACAGUUUUGGUGACCACAAAGGGACCCAGAGCAGACUACUUUGCCUGAACUCUAAGAGGAACCAGAGCCUUGGUACCAGGAGAGGCCUCUUGGCCCAUCCACUUCCUCAGAGUCUAGAUGAAUUUGGAGACUGGAAACGCUUAAGCUCUCAGCAGCUUUACAAGAUAAAUUAGGGCCCCUGCACUGGACUGGCCUAUAGAUAGAAGACUGCUGACCUCAAUCACCGUAAAACAAUGCUCAGAGGAGAAACUACCAGACCAGGAUGAGAAGACUACGACACGAGAUAAGGACUGGUACAGAACAGACUAAGUCCGAUGACCUGGGGGGUACACUGGACCACACCCAAG